UUAAAUUCAGACAGGCUCGGUGCAGUGACCACUUCCCUGGGGAGCCUGUUCCAGUUUGCAACCACUCUCUCUGUGAAGAACCCCUUCCUUAUGUCAAGCCUAAAUUUCCCCUGCCUCAGCUUAACCCCAUUCCUGCGGGUCCUGUCGCUGGUGUUAAUGGAGAAAAGGUCUCCUGCCUCUCGACACCCCCUUACGAGGAAGUUGUUAGGCUUUGUUUAAUUAUUCUUCAGUGUUUGCUUCUUUCCUCUGUGUUAAAUGAAACCAGCUGAGGUAGCAGUGUUCUGUCUGAAUAUAUGGUCAAUGAACUUCUGUUCUAAAGAAAAUUUAUAUCAAAAUUUGCCAAACUUAAUAUAGGCAUAUCAGAUUUUUUUUGGACAAUACAUGGAGUAAAAAUCAAAGGCAUUUUUGAGGUGACAGCAUACCACUAUUAAUCAAAUCAAUAAAAUAAAAUAAAACAUUUAUUUAAUGUAAAGAGGUAUCCAGGCCUUCAUGUCAAUAAGAAAUGCAGUUAACCUCACACCUACUGUCCUCCCAUUUUGGGACAUUCUGAACAAUAUUUAGAAUAACAAAUAAAGAAAGCAAUUAGAUACAGAGAAGUAUUAUUCCAGGAUCUGAAUCUCAACAAGAGUCCUAAAAUAAUGAAGAUGAUGUCUUACAGAUAGGAAUGAGUAUUAGCGUACAACAUGAACAUGAAUACAAACUCAUUGGAAGAAGUUUAUUGGUAGAUUACUAUCAUAUUAGAAGGAUAUAUUCAAUGUCAUACAGUAUCAUGCCAUAGCUGCUUGUCCUGGGUGUGGUCUAUUUUUCAUUAGGGAGAUGGAUGAUGAAAUAGAGAACACAUUUUUUUUUGAUUUACAAAGAAAUGUCAUACAGGGACAACCCACAAAUACUUGGCAAGACAGAGUUAGAAUUCAAAGUUGUCUCAACAGAAAUGACUUGAAGAAAACAGGAUUCGGUGCAGUGAGAGAACCAAAUGUUACCUCUGUCAGAAUAAUCAGGAAUUAGUCACCAGAGGUAAAAGCCUUGAAGUGGAGUCCAGCUGGGAGGACCAACAGAGAAGCUCUAGAAUAAUGAUCAACUGCCAUGAAAAUAUGGUAAGUCAACAUUGAUUUAGCUAAGCAGCAAAAGGAGAGAGAUGAGGAAUAAGUUCAGGUAAAAAUGUGGUCACUACAAAAAUGAAAAAAAAAUAUAUAUUUUUAUGUUCAUUGAAAAUAAACAGUAAUGGAUUUAAACUAAUAACA
RNAcentral lists this long non-coding RNA (1241 nucleotides) under Anas platyrhynchos platyrhynchos (common mallard). RNAcentral's name for it is "lncRNA (ENSAPLG00000031110.1)". The record is from RNAcentral. Lineage: Eukaryota; Metazoa; Chordata; Aves; Anseriformes; Anatidae.